This 265-nucleotide ribosomal RNA is filed under the name uncultured bacterium. RNAcentral's name for it is "partial 16S ribosomal RNA". It matches the Rfam family "Bacterial small subunit ribosomal RNA", at positions 15 to 263 of the family's 1533-position model. The record is from RNAcentral.
GAUCCUGGCUCAGGAUGAACGCUGGCGGCGUGCUUAACACAUGCAAGUCGAACGAGAAGUGAAGACGGAAACCUUCGGGCGGAAGACUUUAUUUCGAGUGGCGGACGGGUGAGUAACGCGUGGGUAACCUGCCUCAUACAGGGGGAUAACAGUUGGAAACGACUGUUAAUACCGCAUAAGACCACAGCACCGCAUGGUGCGGGGGUAAAAACUCCGGUGGUAUGAGAUGGACCCGCGUUCGAUUAGCCAGUUGGCGGGGUAACGG